AACAUAAAAUUUCAUUCAAAUAUUCAUUAACCCCAUACAAUGAUACAUGACCCCUAUAUAUAGGUCAUGAGAUACAAAUAAAUAAAAAGCACAACAAUUGACUAAAUCGCCCUCGGGGCCCCAACAUGACUCACUCACACACAAGGGUAAAACAGGAAUACUGAAAACUGAAAAUGCAUGAAUAACUAAAAAUAUGAGCUCUGAAUCGUGGCCAUCGAUCGGCGAUGCUUCCGGCGAUACACGUGUCUGAACCGUUGAUCGAUGACCUCAUCAUUUCUAGUUCAAAAAUUAAAAAAAGUUGUUUUAAGAAGCAGAAAGUCGUCCCAAACAAAGCCUAAGACUCUUGAUUUGGGAGCACGCUUUUCGUAGGCAUUUAUUCCAUAUGUUGUGAACUUCAUUUCCCAUCAUGCUAGUGGUAUGCAUUGUAGUUCCUUCUGGAAUUUUUGUAUUUGAUGUAAAAAACAAGAUGCCUUCUUUUUUAUAUGGUUAACUUUGUUCAGAACCUUCUCUUAGACCAAACUACAUGAAUUUUAUCAUAGUUUUAGUUUUAGUUUUUUUUUUUUCUCUCUUUUUUCUGGCAAUGGACCUUUUUAACUAUAGUUGUGCUCACAUACCUUAUUCUGCAGAUUAAGAAGCGUCAUACUCCUCUUUUGAAGGUGAAGUCUUAUGCUGAUAAUUUCAAGUGGAAGGGCUUUCCACAAUCCGAGGAAGCUUAAGUUUUUUUACUUUGUGCCUGUGCAAUAGCUGCCUGCUGCUGCUUUUUUUUUUAUUUUUUUUAAUUUACGCAUGUUUGGAUUUCUAAUUUGCAAGCUCUUGAAAAUUGAAAAUGAGAGAUUUUUUUUUUUCAGUAUUAUUUUACAAAUCAUUGUUAUAUUUA
Dendrobium catenatum is the source of this 877-nucleotide long non-coding RNA. RefSeq lists it as uncharacterized. Lineage: Eukaryota; Viridiplantae; Streptophyta; Magnoliopsida; Asparagales; Orchidaceae. The record is from RefSeq and is a predicted model, not a curated record. The transcript is spliced from 2 exons.